GGUGAGAUGGCUCAGUAGGUAAGAACACUUGCUUUGCAAGCAUGAAGACCUGGAUUCAAAUUCCCAUCACCU
Molecule: transfer RNA, 72 nt
Filed under: Cricetulus griseus (Chinese hamster)
Lineage: Eukaryota; Metazoa; Chordata; Mammalia; Rodentia; Cricetidae
Rfam family: tRNA
About the family: Transfer RNA (tRNA) molecules are approximately 80 nucleotides in length. Their secondary structure includes four short double-helical elements and three loops (D, anti-codon, and T loops). Further hydrogen bonds mediate the characteristic L-shaped molecular structure. tRNAs have two regions of fundamental functional importance: the anti-codon, which is responsible for specific mRNA codon recognition, and the 3' end, to which the tRNAs corresponding amino acid is attached (by aminoacyl-tRNA synthetases). tRNAs cope with the degeneracy of the genetic code in two manners: having more than one tRNA (with a specific anti-codon) for a particular amino acid; and 'wobble' base-pairing, i.e. permitting non-standard base-pairing at the 3rd anti-codon position.
Source: Rfam by way of RNAcentral